RNAcentral lists this ribosomal RNA (487 nucleotides) under uncultured Propionibacterium sp. Its description in RNAcentral is "bacterial SSU rRNA". It matches the Rfam family "Bacterial small subunit ribosomal RNA", at positions 1 to 507 of the family's 1533-position model. The record is from RNAcentral. Lineage: Bacteria; Bacillati; Actinomycetota; Actinomycetes; Propionibacteriales; Propionibacteriaceae.
GUAGUUGAUCCGUGCACGAGGACGACGCUGGCGGCGUGCUUAACACAUGCAAGUCGAACGGAAAGGCCCUGCUUUUGUCGGGGUGCUCGAGUGGCGAACGGGUGAGUAACACGUGAGUAACCUGCCCUUGACUUUGGGAUAACUUCAGGAAACUGGGGCUAAUACCGGAUAGGAGCUCCUGCUGCAUGGUGGGGGUUGGAAAGUUUCGGCGGUUGGGGAUGGACUCGCGGCUUAUCAGCUUGUUGGUGGGGUAGUGGCUUACCAAGGCUUUGACGGGUAGCCGGCCUGAGAGGGUGACCGGCCACAUUGGGACUGAGAUACGGCCCAGACUCCUACGGGGAGGCAGCAGUGGGGGAAUAUUGCACAAUGGGCGAAAGCCUGACGGAGCAAUGCCGCGUGGAGGUGGAAGGCCUACGGGUCGUCAACUUCUUUUCUCGGAGAAGAAACAAUGACGGUAUCUGAGGAAUAAGCAUCGGCUAACUCUGUG